Molecule: ribosomal RNA, 207 nt
Filed under: uncultured bacterium
Lineage: Bacteria
Description: partial 16S ribosomal RNA
Rfam family: Bacterial small subunit ribosomal RNA
Source: RNAcentral
CGCGUAGGUGGUUUGAUAAGCGAGAUGUGAAAGCCCCGGGCUUAACCUGGGAACGGCAUUUCGAACUGUCAGGCUAGAGUAUGGUAGAGGAGUGUGGAAUUUCCUGUGUAGCGGUGAAAUGCGUAGAUAUAGGAAGGAAUACCAGUGGCGAAGGCGGCACUCUGGACCAAUACUGACACUGAGGUGCGAAAGCGUGGGGAGCAAACA